UAACAGGAUUAGAUACCCUGGUAGUCCACGCCGUAAACGAUGAGUGCUAAGUGUUGGAGGGUUUCCGCCCUUCAGUGCUGCAGCUAACGCAUUAAGCACUCCGCCUGGGGAGUACGGCCGCAAGGCUGAAACUCAAAGGAAUUGACGGGGACCCGCACAAGCGGUGGAGCAUGUGGAUUAAUUCGAAGCAACGCGAAGAACCUUACCAGGUCUUGACAUCCUUUGACCACUCUAGAGAUAGAGCUUUCCCUUCGGGGACAAAGUGACAGGUGGUGCAUGGUUGUCGUCAGCUCGUGUCGUGAGAUGUUGGGUUAAGUCCCGCAACGAGCGCAACCCUUAUUACUAGUUGCCAGCAUUUAGUUGGGCACUCUAGUGAGACUGCCGGUGACAAACCGGAGGAAGGUGGGGAUGACGUCAAAUCAUCAUGCCCCUUAUGACCUGGGCUACACACGUGCUACAAUGGAUGGUACAACGAGUCGCAAGGUCGCGAGGCCAAGCUAAUCUCUUAAAGCCAUUCUCAGUUCGGAUUGUAGGCUGCAACUCGCCUACAUGAAGCCGGAAUCGCUAGUAAUCGCGGAUCAGAACGCCGCGGUGAAUACGUUCCCGGGUCUUGUACACACCGCCCGUCACACCACGAGAGUUUGUAACACCCGAAGCCGGUGAGGUAACCUUUUAGGAGCCAGCCGUCUAAGGUGGGAUAGAUAAUUGGGGUGAAGUCGUAACAAGGUAACCA
This 733-nucleotide ribosomal RNA is filed under the name uncultured bacterium. RNAcentral's name for it is "bacterial SSU rRNA". It matches the Rfam family "Bacterial small subunit ribosomal RNA", at positions 770 to 1502 of the family's 1533-position model. The record is from RNAcentral.